UGGGGAAUAUUGCACAAUGGGCGGAAGCCUGAUGCAGCAACGCCGCGUGCGGGAUGACGGCCUUCGGGUUGUAAACCGCUUUCGCCUGUGACGAAGCGUGAGUGANGGUAAUGGGUAAAGAAGCACCGGCUAACUACGUGCCAGCAGCCGCGGUGAUANGUANGGGGCCAAGGUUGGNCCGGAUUUUUUGGGCGUAAGGGCUCGUAGGUGGAUGAUCGCCUCGNAAGUGUAAUCUUGCUUGUUACUCCUGACCGAGCGUGCUUUCGAUACGGGUUGACUUGAGGAAGGUAGGGGAGAAUGGAAUUCCUGGUGGANGGGGGAAGGCCCAAAAAAUGAGAAAAAACCCGGGGGGGGGGGGGUUUUUUCGUUUUUUCCUCCCCGGAAAAAAAAAAGGGGGGAACGAAAGCGGGNNNNCCACCNGGCUUAGAUACCCUGGCAGUCCACGCCGUAGAUGGAGGGGGGGGGUAUGGGGGGGGGGCCCCAUUCCACGGGCUUCCGCCGCCGUANCUAANNUUUUAANUACCCCGCCGGGGGAGAACGGCCCCNAAGGCUA
RNAcentral lists this ribosomal RNA (553 nucleotides) under uncultured bacterium. Its description in RNAcentral is "partial 16S rRNA". It matches the Rfam family "Bacterial small subunit ribosomal RNA", at positions 355 to 896 of the family's 1533-position model. The record is from RNAcentral.